Long non-coding RNA from Pipra filicauda (Wire-tailed manakin), 780 nucleotides. RefSeq lists it as uncharacterized. NCBI's taxonomy places the organism in Eukaryota, Metazoa, Chordata, Aves, Passeriformes, Pipridae. The record is from RefSeq and is a predicted model, not a curated record. The transcript has 3 exons.
CAACUUUGUUUUGAUAAGCUGAAGAAAUCAAACUCUGAGACUUUCAUUUUAAGACAUUUUCUCCUGUUUUCAGAAAGUCAUGGAGCAAACUUGGAUAUCAGACCUCUGACUAUCUACUUGGCUUGUUCACCGGCACCCUGAGAGACAAGGCUUGAUGCAGAUUUCUGAUGUGAUUUGGCAGGUUCUGCGAAAAUAACUGCAAGAGUUGCUGCUUUAUUGCUUGUCACACAAUAUUCAGACAUUUUUCAUUCAGCUGUAUCUUCUUUACAUAAUCUUUUUCUUUUUGCCGCUUUCUAGAUUUAUUCUUGCCAUCAAACAUUUCCAUUUAUUUUUCUAUCAGCUUCUUCCCUCAAGAUGAACCCCCUGCUAGGAUGCAAAUCCAGACUACUUUCACAUCUUUCUAAGACUUUAUGUUUUAGUUACAAAGUUCCUUCUCUGCAACUGGGAAACUUCUCUGCCCCUACAGAUAUGGUUACAUACACUUUUUAAAAUGUCUAUCAAAUACUGAAGUUGAUACCUCACAGGGAUUCAGAGAAGAAAUUACAUUUUACAAUGUUUCUUCAGCUGCAUGCAAAUAUUCGAAAUCUGGUGGAUUUGGUUCAUGUGCUUUUUCCAUGACCAUCUUUGGCUUCUGUUUUAAGUGAAUGAAAACUGUGGCAGAAGGAGCAGCUCAGAGAGAGGUGUACCCCACAUCCUAGCUCUGCUGCAGGCUGCAACAACUUGCAAUCACAGAACAUGACAAUUAAUAAAGAAGCUUAGAGCUUUACUUUGAAACACCUA